AUGGAGGCAGGCACGCAGCCUGUACGCGCCGGUCAUCGCCACCGCUCCUCUGCUCCGCCGGCCGUCCACGCCCAAACCAUGCCUCCUGCCCUCCACAUCUCCCCACACGGCACCGCCUCCGCCGGCCCUCCACGGGCCUCUUCGGCGCCCAACCACCCGCGGGCCUCUUCGGCGCCCCUCACCCGCCGGCCACCGCCCUCCCAGUGGUCCCUCUCACCGCCCCCUUCUCGGUGCCCACCAGCCGUCCUCCCGGCGCUCCCCACUCCACCACACGAAGACAAAGUCGAGACGGCACCAGGUGCCAGCAUCGCCGGCUCGCCGCACUUCGCUGGCCAACAAUCGCCACGGGCGCUCCCUGAUCCCUUCGCGCGGCAACAGCAACGGGUGCCCCAGUCCCCUCCAUGCGUCCGUGCACUCCGCCUGGGAGUUGCUCUAUUCCCAGGAGAGUCAAGACUUCUAUCUCAUAAGAUAUUCAAUGGAUAUUUUGUGAAACUAUUCUACCUCGGUGUUUGUCCAGAAGAAACAAACUCAUGUUCAGGAAGAGCUAUUUUGUGCACAUGA
RNAcentral lists this ribosomal RNA (561 nucleotides) under Triticum aestivum (bread wheat). RNAcentral describes it as "partial small subunit ribosomal RNA". Lineage: Eukaryota; Viridiplantae; Streptophyta; Magnoliopsida; Poales; Poaceae. The record is from RNAcentral.